GCGGGUGUAGUUUAGUGGUAAAACUUCAGCCUUCCAAGCUGAUAUCGUGGGUUCGAUUCCCAUCACCCGCU
Molecule: transfer RNA, 71 nt
Filed under: Virgibacillus salinus
Lineage: Bacteria; Bacillati; Bacillota; Bacilli; Caryophanales; Bacillaceae
Also listed under: 1 other name
Rfam family: tRNA
About the family: Transfer RNA (tRNA) molecules are approximately 80 nucleotides in length.
Source: Rfam by way of RNAcentral